RNAcentral lists this ribosomal RNA (932 nucleotides) under uncultured Brevibacterium sp. Its description in RNAcentral is "bacterial SSU rRNA". It matches the Rfam family "Bacterial small subunit ribosomal RNA", at positions 1 to 937 of the family's 1533-position model. Lineage: Bacteria; Bacillati; Actinomycetota; Actinomycetes; Micrococcales; Brevibacteriaceae. The record is from RNAcentral.
UAGAGUUUGAUCAUGGCUCAGGACGAACGCUGGCUGCGUGCUUAACACAUGCAAGUCGAACGCUGAAGCUCUGGUGCUUGCACCGGGGUGGAUGAGUGGCGAACGGGUGAGUAACACGUGAGUAACCUGCCCCUGACUUCGGGAUAAGCCCGGGAAACUGGGUCUAAUACCGAAUAUGACCGUUCCUCGCAUGAGGGAUGGUGGAAAGUUUUUUCGGUUGGGGAUGGGCUCGCGGCCUAUCAGCUAGAUGGUGGGGUAAUGGCCCACCAUGGCGACGACGGGUAGCCGGCCUGAGAGGGCGACCGGCCACACUGGGACUGAGACACGGCCCAGACUCCUACGGGAGGCAGCAGUGGGGAAUAUUGCACAAUGGGGGAAACCCUGAUGCAGCGACGCAGCGUGCGGGAUGACGGCCUUCGGGUUGUAAACCGCUUUCAGCAGGGAAGAAGCCAGCUUUGGUGGUGACGGUACCUGCAGGAGAAGUACCGGCUAACUACGUGCCAGCAGCCGCGGUAAUACGUAGGGUACGAGCGUUGUCCGGAAUUAUUGGGCGUAAAGAGCUCGUAGGUGGUUGGUCACGUCUGCUGUGGAAACGCAACGCUUAACGUUGCGCGUGCAGUGGGUACGGGCUGACUAGAGUGCAGUAGGGGAGUCUGGAAUUCCUGGUGUAGCGGUGAAACGCGCAGAUAUCAGGAGGAACACCGGUGGCGAAGGCGGGACUCUGGGCUGUAACUGACACUGAGGAGCGAAAGCAUGGGGAGCGAACAGGAUUAGAUACCCUGGUAGUCCAUGCCGUAAACGUUGGGCACUAGGUGUGGGGGACAUUCCACGUUCUCCGCGCCGUAGCUAACGCAUUAAGUGCCCCGCCUGGGGAGUACGGUCGCAAGGCUAAAACUCAAAGGAAUUGACGGGGGCCCGCACAAGCGGCGGAG